GACGAACGCUGGCGGCGUGCUUAACACAUGCAAGUCGAACGGAAAGGCCCUGCUUUUGUGGGGUGCUCGAGUGGCGAACGGGUGAGUAACACGUGAGUAACCUGCCCUUGACUUUGGGAUAACUUCAGGAAACUGGGGCUAAUACCGGAUAGGAGCUCCUGCUGCAUGGUGGGGGGUGGAAAGUUUCGGCGGGUGGGGAUGGACUCGCGGCUUAUCAGCUUGUUGGUGGGGUAGUGGCUUACCAAGGCAUUGACGGGUAGCCGGCCUGAGAGGGUGACCGGCCACAUGGGGACUGAGAUACGGCCCAGACUCCUACGGGAGGCAGCAGUGGGGAAUAUGGCACAAUGGGCGGAAGCCUGAUGCAGCAACGCCGCGUGCGGGAUGACGGCCUUCGGGUUGUAAACCGCUUUCGCCUGUGACGAAGCGGGAGUGACGGUAAUGGGUAAAGAAGCACCGGCUAACUACGUG
RNAcentral lists this ribosomal RNA (468 nucleotides) under uncultured bacterium. Its description in RNAcentral is "partial 16S ribosomal RNA". It matches the Rfam family "Bacterial small subunit ribosomal RNA", at positions 28 to 507 of the family's 1533-position model. The record is from RNAcentral.